AAAGUGAAUAUAAAUGAGGUGGCUAAAGUCAGAUGCUGCAGACCCGAAGCCAAGUGAUCUAUCCAUGGCCAAGUUGAAGUAAGUGUAAUAGCUUAUGGAGGACUGAACUCGUGCCCAUUGAAACGGGCUGGGAUGAGCUGUGGAUAGGGGUGAAAGGCCAAACAAACUUGGUGAUAGCUGGUUCUCUUCGAAAUAUAUUUAGGUAUAGCCUCAAGUGAUAGUCAUAGGGGGUAGAGCUCUGAUUGGGCUAGGGCUGCUCACCGCGGUACCAACCCCUGUCAAACUACGAAUACCUAUGACCGUAUCUUGGGAGUCAGGCGGUGGGUGAUAAAAUCAAUCGUCAAAAGGGGAACAACCCAGACUACCAACUAAGGUCCCCAAGUUCUAUUCUAAGUGG
Molecule: ribosomal RNA, 397 nt
Filed under: Helicobacter sp. MIT 14-3879
Lineage: Bacteria; Pseudomonadati; Campylobacterota; Epsilonproteobacteria; Campylobacterales; Helicobacteraceae
Description: bacterial LSU rRNA
Rfam family: Bacterial large subunit ribosomal RNA
Source: RNAcentral